AGAGUUUGAUCCUGGCUCAGGACGAACGCUGGCGGCGUGCCUAAUACAUGCAAGUAGAACGCUGACUACUUUAGCUUGCUAGAGUAGAAGGAGUUGCGAACGGGUGAGUAACGCGUAGGUAACCUGCCAACUAGCGGGGGAUAACUAUUGGAAACGAUAGCUAAUACCGCAUAACAGUGUUUAACACAUGUUAGAUGCUUGAAAGGUGCAAUUGCAUCACUAGUAGAUGGACCUGCGUUGUAUUAGCUAGUUGGUGGGGUAACGGCCCACCAAGGCGACGAUACAUAGCCGACCUGAGAGGGUGAUCGGCCACACUGGGACUGAGACACGGCCCAGACUCCUACGGGAGGCAGCAGUAGGGAAUCUUCGGCAAUGGGGGCAACCCUGACCGAGCAACGCCGCGUGAGUGAAGAAGGUUUUCGGAUCGUAAAGCUCUGUUGUAAGAGAAGAACGUGUGUGAGAGUGGAAAGUUCACACAGUGACGGUAACUUACCAGAAAGGGACGGCUAACUACGUGCCAGCAGCCGCGGUAAUACGUAGGUCCCGAGCGUUGUCCGGAUUUAUUGGGCGUAAAGCGAGCGCAGGCGGUUUUAAUAAGUCUGAAGUUAAAAGGCAGUGGCUUAACCAUUGUUCGCUUUGGAAACUGUUAAACUUGAGUGCAGAAAGGGGAAAGUGGAAAUUCCCUGUGUUGCGGUGGAAUGGCGUAAAUUUUUGGGAGGAACACCCGGGGGCAAAAGCGGCUCUCUGGUCUGUAACUGACCCUGAGGCUCGAAAGCGUGGGAAGCAAACAGGAAUAAGAUACCCUGUAGUCCCACGCCGUAAACGAUGAAUACUAGGUGUAGGGGCCCCAAGCCUCUGUGCCGCCGCUAACGCAUUAAGUAUUCCGCCUGGGGAGUACGGUCGCAAGAUUAAAACUCAAAGGAAUUGACGGGGACCCGCACAAGCAGCGGAGCAUGUGGUUUAAUUCGAAGCAACGCGAAGAACCUUACCUAGACUUGACAUGUCUUGAAUUACCAGUAAUGUGGGAAGUCCCUUCGGGGACAGGAACACAGGUGGUGCAUGGUUGUCGUCAGCUCGUGUCGUGAGAUGUUGGGUUAAGUCCCGCAACGAGCGCAACCCUUAUUGUUAGUUGGUACCAUUAAGUUGACCACUCUAGCGAGACUGCCCGGGUUAACCGGGAGGAAGGUGGGGAUGACGUCAAAUCAUCAUGCCCCUUAUGUCUAGGGCUACACACGUGCUACAAUGGCAAGUACAAAGAGAAGCAAUACUGUGAAGUGGAGCAAAACUCAAAAACUUGUCUCAGUUCGGAUUGUAGGCUGAAACUCGCCUACAUGAAGCUGGAGUUGCUAGUAAUCGCGAAUCAGAAUGUCGCGGUGAAUACGUUCCCGGGUCUUGUACACACCGCCCGUCA
This 1411-nucleotide ribosomal RNA is filed under the name uncultured bacterium. Its description in RNAcentral is "partial 16S ribosomal RNA". It matches the Rfam family "Bacterial small subunit ribosomal RNA". The record is from RNAcentral.